Molecule: ribosomal RNA, 460 nt
Filed under: uncultured bacterium
Lineage: Bacteria
Description: partial 16S ribosomal RNA
Rfam family: Bacterial small subunit ribosomal RNA
Source: RNAcentral
CCUACGGGAGGCUGCAGUGAGGAAUAUUGGUCAAUGGGCGCUAGCCUGAACCAGCCAAGUAGCGUGAAGGAUGACUGCCCUAUGGGUUGUAAACUUCUUUUAUAUGGGAAUAAAGUGCAGUAUGUAUACUGCUUUGCAUGUACCUUAUGAAUAAGGAUCGGCUAACUCCGUGCCAGCAGCCGCGGUAAUACGGAGGAUCCGAGCGUUAUCCGGAUUUAUUGGGUUUAAAGGGGGCGUAGGCGGGUUGUUAAGUCAGUUGUGAAAGUUUGCGGCUCAACCGUAAAAUUGCAGUUGAUACUGGCAGACUUGAGUACAGUAGAGGUAGGCGGAAUGCGUGGGGGAGCGGGGAGAUGCUUAGAUAUCACGAAGAACUCCGAUUGCGAAGGCAGCCUGCUGGACUGUAACUGAUGCUGAGGCUCGAAAGUGUGGGGAUCAAACAGGAUUAGAUACCCUAGUAGUC